ACCAGCGCCACAAGUGGCAACCACGUUUAUUGGGCCUAAAGCGUCCGUAGCCGGCUUUGUAAAUCUCUUGUGAAAUCGUCAGGCUUAACCUGACGGCGUGCUAGAGAAACUGCAUCGCUUGAGACCGGGAGGAGUCAGAGGUAUUCCUGAGGGAGCGGUAAAAUGUGAUAAUCUCAGGAGGAUCACCUAUGGCGAAGGCAUCUGACCAGAACGGUUCUGACGGUCAGGGACGAAGGCUAGGGGAGCGAUCCGG
Molecule: ribosomal RNA, 253 nt
Filed under: uncultured bacterium
Lineage: Bacteria
Description: partial 16S ribosomal RNA
Rfam family: Archaeal small subunit ribosomal RNA
Source: RNAcentral